RNAcentral lists this ribosomal RNA (468 nucleotides) under uncultured bacterium. Its description in RNAcentral is "partial 16S ribosomal RNA". It matches the Rfam family "Bacterial small subunit ribosomal RNA", at positions 28 to 507 of the family's 1533-position model. The record is from RNAcentral.
GACGAACGCUGGCGGCGUGCUUAACACAUGCAAGUCGAACGGAAAGGCCCUGCUUUUGUGGGGUGCUCGAGUGGCGAACGGGUGAGUAACACGUGAGUAACCUGCCCUUGACUUUGGGAUAACUUCAGGAAACUGGGGCUAAUACCGGAUAGGAGCUCCUGCUGCAUGGUGGGGGAUGGAGAGUUUCGGCGGUUGGGGAUGGACUCGCGGCUUAUCAGCUUGUUGGUGGGGUAGUGGCUUACCAAGGCUUUGACGGGUAGCCGGCCUGAGAGGGUGACCGGCCACAUUGGGACUGAGAUACGGCCCAGACUCCUACGGGAGGCAGCAGUGGGGAAUAUUGCACAAUGGGCGGAAGCCUGAUGCAGCAACGCCGCGUGCGGGAUGACGGCCUUCGGGUUGUAAACCGCUUUCGCCUGUGACGAAGCGUGAGUGACGGUAAUGGGUAAAGAAGCACCGGCUAACUACGUG